GUUGCUGAUUUAGUUUCUGCUCUUUUAUCGAAAAUUUUUUCAUGUUAUACGCUGCUCACUGCAUCAUAAGUGAGACUGCAUAAAUCUGAAUAUUGGACUUUUGCAGGAAAGCACAUUGUGUUCCAUGUAACACUUUCAUUUCCAUUAAAGUUUUAGAUUUAAUAUGUGCAUGUUCCGAUAAGACAAAAGGCCCUCCAUUUGAAAGGCUAACGACUGUGUUCGAACAGAAUAAUGAGAAAGAAAAAUGUUGCAAAAUGCAAAAUUGUGUAUUUUUACGGAGCCCUUAUUUUCACAAUCAAAAUGUAUUUCGUCAGUUGUAAUCAGGAUAAAACCUGUUUUUUAUUUCUCAUCAUCGUCCUCUGAGCGCAAACAGACACACUUUCUAGCGUUCACAAGUUUAAAAGACUCAACGAGGAUGUUUUCAAGAAACUUGCCAAAGCCAUCCGCCGAUUGGAAAUUUGUCACGAGUCCCGGUGUGAUCAAAUUUUCCUUUAGCACUUGAAUCAGGCUAAGAGAGAGUCUGGAAAAGGGGGAGAAGUGAGACCCUUAAGAGAAGAUGGUCUUCAAUCAGCACUGAACAACCUACAACCUGACCCCAAGUGAAAGGCUUCUGGGCUCACUGUGUCUCUGGGAAUACUUGCCAAAAGCUGCAAAGUGAACAAUGUUGUAGAACUGAAG
Oreochromis aureus is the source of this 678-nucleotide long non-coding RNA. RefSeq lists it as uncharacterized. The record is from RefSeq and is a predicted model, not a curated record. NCBI's taxonomy places the organism in Eukaryota, Metazoa, Chordata, Actinopteri, Cichliformes, Cichlidae. The transcript has 3 exons.